Hydra vulgaris (swiftwater hydra) is the source of this 2779-nucleotide long non-coding RNA. RefSeq lists it as uncharacterized. The record is from RefSeq and is a predicted model, not a curated record. Lineage: Eukaryota; Metazoa; Cnidaria; Hydrozoa; Anthoathecata; Hydridae.
UUUUUUUUAUUUUGCAUUUCAUUAGUUUGGUAAAAGCUCUUGAAUUAAAUCUUGAUUACUUUUAAUUAAGAUAACUCUUUUCACCUGCCCAUUUUCACAGAUCGUCAAAAUUCUCUGGGUGUUUUUUGAAAUUUAAAGAUUUUUAUAAAGAUCCAACACUACCUCCCCACACAUGUGGAGAGGGGGUGUUGGAUCUUUAUAAAAAUCUUUAAAUUUCAAAAAACACCGAGAGAAAUGUUGCGCCAAGUUUUUUUAACCAUUUAUUUUUUACCGUUUUGAAAUAAAGUGAGAAUAUAAAGAAUAAAUAUAAAAUGAUAGGUGUGGAGCAGACAUAACCUGAACUGUUGUAUGAUUCAGGACAGUUAAUUUUUUAUUAUUUUCAUAAUCACAUCGGCAAUUGUUGUUUUUAAAUAGAUAUAAAAUGCGUAUCAGAUAUGAUCCGUAUCACUCGAAAAUUUCUUUUGUUCUUUUGCGAAGGCAAGUAAAAUGUUCAAAUCUUCAAGAAAAAAUAAAAAAACCGUCCUUAAGUACAUCGAGUAAUUGUUCCGUCUCGGAAAAGCGGGACAUAUUUCCUCAUAUAGUCAGGCCCUAAGUACGUGCGUCAGACUUACAAAAUAUGGCAAUAAUUUCGCAUGCGCAAAAUAUUUCCAGAGUAAGUUUAUUUAUAAAAAUCGGUAAUCUAUUUAAAUGUUAUUUAAAGUCCAUUAAAUGGACUUUAAAUAACAUUUUAUAUAUUUUAUAAAUUGCCAAGCGAUUAAUAUGGAGCGGCAAAAUUUUGACGAUCUGAUCAAGGCUUUAAAAUUGUCAAUAUGAAACAUUACAUCAUAAUCACCAAAUUUAAAGUUAUUAUCAUGGGCCCUAUCCUAUAAAACUUUUACAAUAUUGUAAACUUUACAAUGUAAAUACGCCGAAAUUUUGUAACUACAUUGUAAAAUUUAAGCCGUCCUAUAAAACACGUUUUUAUGUAAUUGUAUACAAUUACAUAAAAACGUUUUUUAUUUAUUAUUAAAAUUAAAUAAAAAGACGUUUUUAUGUAAUUGGCGUUCUUAUGUAAAAUCUAAAAAUAUAUCUCGCAAAAGCGAUUUGAAAUUGCGCGCUAAUUUAACUUAAAUUUAACUAAAAAACAACGAAACAAGAUAUCGCUUUAAUAACACCUAUAAACCAACAUAGGAAAGUUUAAAAAAAAAAUAAUGACCUAUUUUUAAAUAAAAAUUUUAUAAAAAAAAUUGGCAUUAUUUCUGCAAUGAUAAAAAUAUUAAAAUAAUUCGGUUUUUUCGAAAACUAAAUAUUUAUUUAGCCUACAAAUAAAUAAGAUAAAAACGUUAAAAAAAAGGAGAAGAAUACUCUACCAGCAAAGUUAGUGGAUGGGAAUAAAAAAAAUGUUUCAAUUUUCAAACGAGGCUUGUAUGGUUGAAACAUUAAUUACACUUUACCUUAAGUUAAGCGAGAAAAGGGGUUUGCACUGAAUAACUUGUUAUCAUUGUUAAACCUAUUUUUAAAUUUUAAAGUAACCAUUUUGGUUUUAAUUAUAGCUUUACUUCCUUGUGGCAAUCGUAGCCUUACUUCCUUGUGGCAAAUUCUUAGCAACUUUUGCAAAAACCAAAAGCAUAAUUUAAUAUUUUUAUAAUCCUAUAUAAAGAUGAUUGUUUUCUAUCAAAUAAUUACAUGAAAGUAAAAGAAAACUAACUUUUAUGAGAAUGCUUACUAAAGAACAGAAAACUGUUAUGGCUAAUUUCAUUUUGCAAAACAAAGAGAAAAUGAUCGGUUCUUUUUCUCCAUUAUGCAACAUCAAGAUCGAAAAGAAAAAUGGCAAGAAGUUAGAAAUCUUCUUGUAGCUCACGGUCUUUCUUCACUGUUUCAGCUGAACAUGUUCGGACAACUUAAUGGCAAAACCUAAGAAGAUCAACAAUGGAUAAGUUUAAAAAACUCAACAAAUCUGGUGCUGAAGGUGGUAAAUUAUUCGAUUAUGAAUGCACUGUGAUGGAGAUCAUUGGAAAAGAAUCAGCACAUAUUCUACCAGUUAAUGUUGAUGAUAUGAGAGUUGGAAAAAAAGUAUUGAUAAAAAAAAAUUGCCGGCAAUGCCGUUCUUAAUGAAAACAUUUCUUUAGAUAAUUCAGUAGACAUCCUAGACCCAGGUAGUUUUGUAUCAUAUUUAAAAAUCAAUAAACUUUUUCUAAGAUGUUUUAAAAAGUUAUUUGAAUCAGUUAUAACAGUUGUUGAUAAAAAUUCUAAAUAAAAAUUACAAAGUAGAUGUUAAAGUGGUACGGUGGUUGAUAAAUGCAACAUAUGUAUAAAAUUAAAAUUUUUAAUGUUUUCAUUUUAAGUUAAAACAAACUCUAAUUUAUAGAAAUCUCAAUUGGGCAAGACGCUAGUUCAUCAAGCUCUUGCAUUGUUGUACAAGUUAAUCCAGCCUCUAGCGUAGACUAUGUCUCUAAAACGUCUGCCGAAACAGUUCCAAAAUCUUUAGCUGCAAGAUCGAUUGCCCAGAAUAUACCAGCUAUAUCUACAAAUACUAAACGUUCUAUGUUUUGCAGUUUAUGACGUAUAAUUCAUUGUUAGAUGCUAUACAGACAUACAAAGAAGAAAUGAUUACAAAGUAUCGUGUCGCAAAGGAAUCAAAAGAUUUUUCAAAAGAUGAUAAUUCUUCAAACGACUGCGACUUCAGAAAUCUCACGUUAAUUCGUACAUCUAAUUUCAAGGAAAAACAUUUAUAUAUUGGACAAUGGAUUUAACACUAGAAAACUUUUUUUUAUAAUUGAUGACAUAUUUUUAUAAACAU